Long non-coding RNA from Bubalus bubalis (water buffalo), 474 nucleotides. RefSeq lists it as uncharacterized. The transcript is spliced from 4 exons. NCBI's taxonomy places the organism in Eukaryota, Metazoa, Chordata, Mammalia, Artiodactyla, Bovidae. The record is from RefSeq and is a predicted model, not a curated record.
GGCCAUUGUAAUGCAAAAGAGAGUUGCAGAGUAACCCAGACCCAGUGGGGAACUGGGAAACUAGGACCUCGGAAAUGGGAAACACAAUGAACCCAGCAAUGAGAUACUCCUAGCUUCACCUUCUUUCCAUCUUUUAAAAGUCAAAGAUGCACCUCCUGUGGCCACCUAAGGAAAACCACCAAGUCUUUUCAGCAGGCAAAAGCCAGAGGAAAGGACCUGCAGACCUAGGAUCCUGGGAGCCUGAAAUUCUCCACCUCCUCCCAUCAGAACCCAUUUCCAAGGUGUUGACUGGGGGUCUCUUCACCAGUAGCUUCUGCAAAAGGAUUCUCCACAAUCUCCACCACGCUGGCCGCGUAGGCUAAGAGAUGGAUAUACUUGUGCUUGUGGUCUGGGUUGAUCCUGGCCCCAGGUUUAAAGAGCGAUUGCAUGAACAGGUCCAGGAAGGCGGGCACCCGGAUGAGCUCGACAGGAGGC